Pelobates cultripes (western spadefoot toad) is the source of this 157-nucleotide non-coding RNA. Lineage: Eukaryota; Metazoa; Chordata; Amphibia; Anura; Pelobatidae. The record is from the annotation of a GenBank genome assembly.
GCAGACACAUUCCAGCCAAUCAGCAGCAGACCCUCCCUCCCAGACCCUCCCACCUCCUGGACAGCUCACUAAGAAUACAGCUUCAAAAUGGAUGCUGUCCAGGAGGUGGGAGGGUCUUGGAGGGAGGGUCUGCUGCUGAUUGGCUGGAAUGUGUCUG